Cryptomeria japonica (Japanese cedar) is the source of this 858-nucleotide RNA transcript. It is a transcript of the gene named NADPH:quinone oxidoreductase-like, with no coding region annotated. The record is from RefSeq and is a predicted model, not a curated record. The transcript is spliced from 3 exons. NCBI's taxonomy places the organism in Eukaryota, Viridiplantae, Streptophyta, Pinopsida, Cupressales, Cupressaceae.
CCAACGCAUAUAAACGACAAAUAACAAUACUCAAUUACAGGCGCUCCAAAUCGACGUCAACAAUGGCAAGUGCAGUUAGCUUGACAGAGCACGUCAUGAAGGUGGUAGCCAUUUCUGGAUCUCUCAGAAAAUCUUCCUUUAAUCGGGGCUUACUCUGUUCUGCUGUUGAGAUUGCGAGGGAAAGCAUACCACAUAUGGAGAUUGAGAUCUUGGAAAUUGGGCAUCUUCCAUUUGUAAAUACCGACCUUUAAGUAGACAACAGAUUUCCUCCAUCAGUGGAGGAGCUCAGAGCCAGGGUUCUGCAAGCUGACUGCAUACUCUUUGCAUCUCCAGAGUACAAUUAUUUUGUAUCUGGUCCUUUGAAGAAUGCCAUUGACUGGGCUUCCAGACCUCCCAAUGCUUGGGCCGACAAGCCUGCAGCUAUAAUGAGUGCUGGGGGAGGAUUUGGCGGCACAAUAGCUCAAUACCAUUUGAGGCAGAUUGGAGUUUUCCUUAAUUUGCAUUUUAUCAACAAACCUGAGUUUCGAAUCAGAGCAUUUGAACCUCCCGCAAAAUUUGACAGUGAUGGGAAUCUUGUUGAUGAUGAAAUAAAGGAGCAGUCGAAAGAACUUCUGCUAUCGUUAUCUGCAUUUACUCGCAGAAUGCAAAGCAAGUAGUGUAAGUUGAUGCAAGGGGAAUUUCGAAUGAGGCUCCCAGUCUUGAGCUGUUCUUACGAUUCUUUUCCUUCAAAAAACAAUGGGGUAUAAAUAAGUGGUAAAAGCUUUCCAAACAAUAUUUAGUCAUUGCAAGCCUAAAUUUGACGGUCAACUCUAUGUUGAAGCAAAAUCUUUACGAUGGUUAUUUUUUAAUAUAUAUAAA